UGAUGAACUACCAGCAAGAGAAUUAAAAGCGCUUCUUCAAAGAAGGCACAACAUAAGAAUCUGUUUAAACUCGAUUCGUUCCAAUGACCCGGGGAAAAAAAACAAAGACUUGCGUCUAAUCCAGCUCAAGAAUGGAAGGCUGCUGGUGAAAAGUGUGAUGUUCUCUUCACUGACGAGUGUGUGUUUUCCAGUCAAACUGCAUGUUUGGGGUGGGAUCAUUUUUGACGGUAUUAUGGAUCAACACUUCUACGCGGAAGAGAGACAAAAAAAUCCAUCCAUUUAUACUUAAGGGAGCGUUUCCGUAUGUCUA
Molecule: long non-coding RNA, 310 nt
Organism: Alosa alosa (allis shad)
Lineage: Eukaryota; Metazoa; Chordata; Actinopteri; Clupeiformes; Clupeidae
Exons: 3
Source: RefSeq, a predicted model, not a curated record